UACGUAGGGGGCAAGCGUUGUCCGGAUUCAUUGGGCGUAAAGAGCGUGUAGGCGGCCAGGUAGGUCGGUUGUGAAAACUAGAGGCUUAACCUCUAGACGUCGAUGGAAACCGUCUGGCUAGAGUCCGGAAGAGGAGAAUGGAAUUCCUGGUGUAGCGGUGAAAUGCGCAGAUAUCAGGAAGAACACCCGUGGCUAAGGCGGUUCUCUAGUACGGUACUGACGCUGAGACGCGAAAGCGUGGGGAGCGAACAGG
This 253-nucleotide ribosomal RNA is filed under the name uncultured bacterium. RNAcentral describes it as "partial 16S ribosomal RNA". It matches the Rfam family "Bacterial small subunit ribosomal RNA", at positions 524 to 776 of the family's 1533-position model. The record is from RNAcentral.